Molecule: RNA transcript, 1899 nt
Organism: Synchiropus splendidus (mandarinfish)
Lineage: Eukaryota; Metazoa; Chordata; Actinopteri; Syngnathiformes; Callionymidae
Gene name: inositol monophosphatase 1-like
Exons: 9
Source: RefSeq, a predicted model, not a curated record
GUUGAGGGCGGAAGUGUUCAUUCAGUUUGUGUUUACGUCUCAGGGGGUUAUACUACACUCCAAUAUCUGGCCUCACGAAACCGCAAAGCAGCGACAGGUCAGGUCAUACGUUCAUAAGUCGGUUUCAGAACUACGAUGCGGACGACUUCACCCAUAGUCUGUGAGAACUAGAGCGGAACCAGACUCUGUCGGGCAGAACUAGAGCAGAACCGCACACAGUUGGUCACAGCUUGAGCUGCCCAAAGUAGGUCAGAACCACACACCGACCAAAGAAAUGAGAGGAAACGUCGUAAUUACAGUGCGUGUUUAUUUCUAGAUACUGGUAUUAACGUGAUGUCCCCGAAUCUGACUCGCUGGCGAGGAAAUAAAGAAUAUAAUUGGGCAAUGUGACCUCAACAUCACAUUUGGGUUCCGGUCUCGUCCUCUGUGUCUAUUGAUUUGUCUUCGAUAAGUGUGUUUGGUCUAGAUCCAGACUUGGAAAGGUGCCUUUGUGAACUUCGAGAUGGAGCGGUUCUGGUUCAGGUUCCUUGUGAGAGGCCACUCCCACCCGCUGACCAUGUCCUGUCUGUUAGAGUCCCGGUCAGCUGGGCACAGCCCGUUGGAAGAUCCAGUACGACUUGGUUGGACCAUUUCAAUUACCUGUGAAGGCAAAGGUCAUGUUUGUGUUCUGAAGGUCAGUUGAGAUGGCGGACGAGGUCCAGGAUGUGAUGGAUCACGCUGUUGCUCUGGCCAGAAGAGCUGGAGAGAUGGUACGUUCUGCCGUGCGGGACGGAGGGAGAUGUGUGAUGACAAAGAGUUCCACCGUGGACCUGGUGACGCAGACGGACCAGAAGGUGGAACAGCUGAUCAUACAGUCAGUGAGGGAGAGGUUCCCCAAGCACCGAGUGAUUGGUGAGGAGUCGGUGGCAGCAGGUGAGUCAUGUGACCUCACUGACGCACCCACCUGGAUCAUAGACCCGAUCGACGGAACCACCAACUUCGUUCACGCGUUCCCUUUUGUGGCCAUUUCCAUCGGCGUCUGCUUCAACAAGCGGGUGGAGGUGGGCGUUGUGUACAGCUGUCUGGACGACCACAUGUACACCGCGCGGCGAGGGAAAGGGGCCUUCUGCGAUGGUCGGCCCCUGCAAGUCUCCCACCAGCAAGACAUCCAACAGUCCAUCAUCUGCACUGAGUUCGGGUCCAACCGGGAUCCUGAAGUUGUCGACAAGAUUUUCACCAGUUUACGGAAAAUUCUCUUGCUGCCAGUCCAUGGAGUCCGCGGUGCUGGCACUGCAGCGCUAAACCUGUGUCUUGUGGCGUCCGGUUCGGCUGAGGCGUAUUACGAGAUCGGCAUCCACGUGUGGGACGUGGCGGCUGGAUCACUGAUCGUCUCUGAAGCGGGAGGAGUCCUGAUGGACGUGGAGGGUGGUCCAUUGGACAUGAUGUCUCGCAGAAUCAUCGCGGCCAACAACCGAAGCAUCGCAGACACUCUGGUGAAGGAGCUGGAGACCUUCAGUCCCACCAGAGACGACGCCGCACCCUGAAGAGUUUGAACUCCACCGCCCCCUUUUUAUCCAGUGCACCAUGUUAUGAUCAGAGUAUUAAGGUCAAACAGAGAAGAGUCCCGCCAUCAGAGGGGCGUCGCCCGCCAUUCUUUCCCUUCAGUCAAAGCUCGUGGUUGGUGAAUGAAGACGCUGUAUCUCACCCCUUGAUUCGCGGCUGCUCUGACAAAGCGACUGUUUGCCGUCAUGGUAACGGCCUGCAGCCCGUCCCCUGUUCCGAAGAUGAUGAGCGAACGGCGAUUGACUUUGGAGCUGGGCGUGAGGCACUGCGUGCGCUCCGACGGCUUAUCGUCCACCACGUUCAGGCGAGCCAAAAGCCGCUCGGCCCGCUCCUUCUCGUUGGGUCCGCCCAGCGUCU